This 713-nucleotide ribosomal RNA is filed under the name uncultured Actinomycetes bacterium. RNAcentral's name for it is "bacterial SSU rRNA". It matches the Rfam family "Bacterial small subunit ribosomal RNA", at positions 748 to 1461 of the family's 1533-position model. Lineage: Bacteria; Bacillati; Actinomycetota; Actinomycetes. The record is from RNAcentral.
GAGGAGCGAAAGCGUGGGUAGCAAACAGGAUUAGAUACCCUGGUAGUCCACGCCGUAAACGUUGGGCACUAGGUGUGGGUCUCUAACCAACGAGAUCCGCGCCGUCGCUAACGCAUUAAGUGCCCCGCCUGGGGAGUACGGUCGCAAGACUAAGACUCAAAGGAAUUGACGGGGGCCCGCACAAGCAGCGGAGCGUGUUGCUUAAUUCGAUGCUACGCGAAGAACCUUACCUAGGUUAAAUCAUUGGGAAAAGCCACAGAGAUGUGGUGUCCUUCGGGGCUCAAUGAAGGUGGUGCAUGGCUGUCGUCAGCUCGUGUCGUGAGAUGUUGGGUUAAGUCCCGCAACGAGCGCAACCCUUAUUCUAUGUUGCCAGCACGUAAUGGUGGGGACUCGUAGGAGACUGCCGGGGUCAACUCGGAGGAAGGUGGGGACGACGUCAAGUCAUCAUGCCCCUUAUGUCUAGGGCUGCAAACACGCUACAAUGGCCGGUACAGAGGGCUGCGAAACCGCGAGGUUUAGCGAAUCCCAUAAAGCCGGUCUCAGUUCGGAUUGAAGGCUGCAACUCGCCUUCAUGAAGCUGGAGUUGCUAGUAAUCCCGGAUCAGCACGCCGGGGUGAAUACGUUCCCGGGCCUUGUACACACCGCCCGUCACACCACGAAAGUCGGCAACACCCGAAGCCGGUGGCCUAACCGUAAGGAAGGAGCCGUCGAAG